This 193-nucleotide unclassified non-coding RNA is filed under the name soil metagenome. Its description in RNAcentral is "partial contains 5.8S ribosomal RNA, internal transcribed spacer 2, and large subunit ribosomal RNA". The record is from RNAcentral.
AACGCACGAGACCUGCGGACCUGCGGAGGGAUCAUUACCGAGUUAUCCAACUCCCAACCCCUGUGAAUUAUACCUUUAAUUGUUGCUUCGGCGGGACUUCGCGCCCGCCGGGGACCCAAACCUUCUGAAUUUUUUAAUAAGUAUCUUCUGAGUGGUUAAAAAAAUGAAUCAAAACUUUCAGCAAUGGAUCUCU